RNAcentral lists this ribosomal RNA (484 nucleotides) under uncultured bacterium. RNAcentral's name for it is "partial 16S ribosomal RNA". It matches the Rfam family "Bacterial small subunit ribosomal RNA", at positions 30 to 507 of the family's 1533-position model. The record is from RNAcentral.
AUUGAACGCUGGCGGCAGGCCUAACACAUGCAAGUCGAGCGGAUGAAGGGAGCUUGCUCCUGGAUUCAGCGGCGGACGGGUGAGUAAUGCCUAGGAAUCUGCCUGGUAGUGGGGGAUAACGUCCGGAAACGGGCGCUAAUACCGCAUACGUCCUGAGGGAGAAAGUGGGGGAUCUUCGGACCCCACGCUAUCAGAUGAGCCUAGGUCGGAUUAGCUAGUUGGUGGGGUAAAGGCCUACCAAGGCGACGAUCCGUAACUGGUCUGAGAGGAUGAUCAGUCACACUGGAACUGAGACACGGUCCAGACUCCUAAGGGAGGCAGCAGUGGGGAAUAUUGGACAAUGGGCGAAAGCCUGGUCCAGCCAUGCCGCGUGUGUGAAGAAGGUCUUCGGAUUGUAAAGCACUUUAAGUUGGGAGGAAGGGCAGUAAGUUAAUACCUUGCUGUUUUGACGUUACCAACAGAAUAAGCACCGGCUAACUUCGUG